This 323-nucleotide ribosomal RNA is filed under the name Iberotrechus bolivari. RNAcentral describes it as "partial 16S ribosomal RNA". The record is from RNAcentral. Lineage: Eukaryota; Metazoa; Arthropoda; Insecta; Coleoptera; Carabidae.
UUAAAUGGCUGCAGUAAUUUGACUGUACAAAGGUAGCAUAAUCAUUAGUUUUUUAAUUAAAAGCUUGUAUGAAAGGUUGGACGAAGUAAGUUCUGUCUCUUGAAAAUAUAAUUAGAAUUUAAUUUUUAAGUUAAAAAGCUUAAAUAUUAAUAAAAGACGAGAAGACCCUAUAGAGUUUAAUAUUUUUAAUAUAAUAAUUAAUUUAGAUUUAUUAAUUUUAUUAUUUUAAUAAUAUUUUAUUGGGGUAAUAGAAAGAUUAAAAUAAUUCUUUAUUUUAAAAACAUUAAUUUAUGAAUUUUUGAUCCAUUACUAAUGAUUAAAAG